This is a long non-coding RNA of Triticum aestivum (bread wheat), 1642 nucleotides long. RefSeq lists it as uncharacterized. Lineage: Eukaryota; Viridiplantae; Streptophyta; Magnoliopsida; Poales; Poaceae. The record is from RefSeq and is a predicted model, not a curated record. The transcript has 6 exons.
CGUUCGCGGCCGCAUUGGUUCAGCUGCUAGGGAAAAAACAAUACGCAACAAAUCAUCUUCCUAAUCUUCGGCGCACAAAUCGCUCCCCAACCCGAGGCCCGCCCGCCCGCGGCGGCGACUUCGAGUAGUCGCCCAUCGUGCAGACGCCGUCGUCGACACCUCCCCCGCCGGCUCAACGCUCCAGGUGCUCGGCCGCGCCCUGAACACAGGAUCAUCGACUCCUCUCCCACCCUCAUCGCAACUGUAGCCGACGCUGACGGCGCUCAUUAUAUCACCUGGGAGGACCUUGAAGUGCCGCACGGCGGUGUAGGCGUGCAGCUACUCUCCGACCCCGUGCGGCGACCGUCCAUAACUUGCCGCAGCGCUGGGAGCGGAUGAGGUCACACCGCGCGCAGGAUUGGGGCGGUGGUCGGACUUGGAUCUGGCGAGAUUGAUGUGGUUGUGUCCUGUGCCUCCCGGACGUCCGGAUACUUUCCCAUCCCUCCUGUGAAGAUGCCAGUGUAUGGAUUGUCAGACUUGUUCCAAAUCUGCACCUUUAAUGUCUCACUCUGAGCGAAUCAAGGAUCAGGUGACAUAGUUUCUACUGAAGCACUGUACAAGUCAAACCGAUGCUUAUUGCUCUUGUGACUGAACUAUAUAUUGAGUUAAUCCUUGACAAGAUACAUUUUCAGAUGUUGAUGUGAAUCAGGAUGGAAAAUUGAUAGAGCAGAGUGGUUGAACUUUUUCUCAAGAAAUCCAUCCUUUAUGAAGACAAGCUUGCUCAUAGGCGGAUGACAUUCUCACAAAAAACACCAAAAUAUUGUGUCUAUAGAGAUGUCUUGCAGGGAUGACACAGGUUUAUUCUCCAUUCAUGCCAAUCCAUUUUAUAAUUUUAUUCUUUCAGGCAUACUUCUCAUCUCCUUUCAAUACUGAUUCUUUUUAUUUAUUUUUUGAUCUGUUCACGUUAUGCAAGCUGGAUUUGGCACAGUUUUGUUUGGCUAAAUGCCAAUUGACAUGUCAAUAUACGCGAGCCGCAAGGUGCCUUUCACUGCCAGGGGGUGCAGCUGAGGCUGUGAAUGCUGCUGAAAUCUGCAAGCGCUGACCACUUCAUCUCACCCCGUGGGCAUGACAUGUGUCAUCCAUCAUUUCAUGCAGCGUGAUGUUGCUUAAAGGGUUAACAGAAUUACUAAGCAUGCCUCUGUGUUUAGGAGUUGAAAAGGCUUUGACUGGACGCCAAGGGAAAGGUGAACCUGUUGAUGCAAUGAACAUGCAGAACAUGGUGAAAUUGAAUAACACUUCCAUGGUUAAAUUUUCUGCCCCACGCACGUCCGCCGUUCAAGGUGCAUCCGGCACUACCCGCACGGAUCCACCUCGCAUGCCUGCUGCACCGUCCAUGACAUGCAUCUUGCUGCGCCUUUUUAAUAUAAGAGGCUUGUGCUUAUUUCUGUGAUUGCUCAAGGUAAUGCAAAGAGGUGGUCUAGACAUGAAAAUUGUGAAGUUUGUAAAUUGUAAUGACUCGAAAUUUGUACCAUCAUCAAAUGUGUGAAGUUUGUAAUGACUAGAUAUUUCACCAACGGUCAUGGCUCCAGAAUUUCAUCCUUGGUCAAUUGAUAUGCUUAACUUCUCUUGUCGAUAAUAGAAGAUUGCUCCUCUGGCCUCUGCA